Molecule: ribosomal RNA, 368 nt
Filed under: uncultured bacterium
Lineage: Bacteria
Description: partial 16S ribosomal RNA
Rfam family: Bacterial small subunit ribosomal RNA
Source: RNAcentral
CCUACGGGUGGCUGCAGUGGGGGAUAUUGCACAAUGGGGGAAACCCUGAUGCAGCGACGCCGCGUGAGUGAAGAAGUAUUUCGGUAUGUAAAGCUCUAUCAGCAGGGAAGAAAAUGACAGUACCUGACCAAGAAGCCACGGCUAACUACGUGCCAGCAGCCGCGGUAAUACGUAGGGGGCAAGCGUUAUCCGGAUUUACUGGGUGUAAAGGGAGCGUAGACGGUUUUUUAAGUCUGGAGUGAAAGCCCCGGGCUCAACCCCGGGACUGCUUUUGAAACUGUGUAACUGGAGUACAGGAGGGGAGGAUGGAAUUCCUGGUGUAGCGGUGAAAUGCGUAGAGAUCAGGAGGAACACCGGCGGCGAAGGCG